UAAAAGUUUUAUUUUAGCUUUAUAUUUUAUUUUUAGUAUAAUUUAUAUACAGGUUUUUGCGUGAAUUUUAAUUUAUUUUAAAAAUUUAUUAUAUUUAUUUAUUUGUAGUGAAUAGUUUUAUUAAUUAAAGAAAUUUAGAAAUAGUAAUAUUAUAUAGUAUUGAACAAAUUUGUGCCAGCAGUCGCGGUUAAACAAAAGAUACAAAUAAAUGUUUUUAGUUUAAAGUUAGAUAGUUUAUAAAAAAAAUUAUUUAAUUAUAUUAGGUGAAAUUUUAUAAUUAUAAAAUUUUGAAGAUGUAAUAAUUGAAGCUUGUAAAUUUUAAUUAUAAACUAGGAUUAGAUACCCUAUUAUUUAAAAUGUAUUUAUUGAACUUGAGUAAUAAUAGUUAUAUUCUUUAAACUUAAAAAAUUUGGCGGUAUUUUAGUCUAUUCAGAGGAACCUGUUUUUUAAUCGACAUUCCACGAUGAACCUUACUUAAAUUUAUGUAUUAGUUUGUAUACCGUCGUUAUAGAAAAUUUUAUGAGAACAAUAAUUUUCAAUAUAUUAAUAAAAUUAUAUAUCAGAUCAAGGUGCAGCUUAUGUUUAAGAUAAUAAUGGGUUACAAUAAAUUUAUUUACACGGAUUUAAAAAUGAAAAAUUUAUUAAAGGUGGAUUUGAUAGUAAAAUUUUAUAGACUAUCAAUUUGAUUUUAGCUCUAAAAUAUGUACAUAUCGCCCGUCACUCUUGUCCUUAAGGUAAGAUAAGUCGUAACAUAGUAGGUAUACUGGAAAGUGUGUCUAGAAUUCA
RNAcentral lists this non-coding RNA (786 nucleotides) under Apocephalus antennatus. Lineage: Eukaryota; Metazoa; Arthropoda; Insecta; Diptera; Phoridae. The record is from RNAcentral.